RNAcentral lists this transfer RNA (73 nucleotides) under Caldilineaceae bacterium. RNAcentral's name for it is "tRNA-Arg". It matches the Rfam family "tRNA". Rfam says of the family: Transfer RNA (tRNA) molecules are approximately 80 nucleotides in length. Their secondary structure includes four short double-helical elements and three loops (D, anti-codon, and T loops). Further hydrogen bonds mediate the characteristic L-shaped molecular structure. tRNAs have two regions of fundamental functional importance: the anti-codon, which is responsible for specific mRNA codon recognition, and the 3' end, to which the tRNAs corresponding amino acid is attached (by aminoacyl-tRNA synthetases). tRNAs cope with the degeneracy of the genetic code in two manners: having more than one tRNA (with a specific anti-codon) for a particular amino acid; and 'wobble' base-pairing, i.e. permitting non-standard base-pairing at the 3rd anti-codon position. Lineage: Bacteria; Bacillati; Chloroflexota; Caldilineae; Caldilineales; Caldilineaceae. The record is from RNAcentral.
GCCCCCUUAGCUCAGAGGAUAGAGCAACGGUCUUCUAAACCGUGGGUCGUAGGUUCGAAUCCUACAGGGGGCG